CAAGUCUUGACAUCCCUCUGAAUCCUCUAGAGAUAGAGGCGGCCUUCGGGACAGAGGUGACAGGUGGUGCAUGGUUGUCGUCAGCUCGUGUCGUGAGAUGUUGGGUUAAGUCCCGCAACGAGCGCAACCCUUGAUUUUAGUUGCCAGCACUUUGGGUGGGCACUCUAGAAUGACUGCCGGUGACAAACCGGAGGAAGGCGGGGAUGACGUCAAAUCAUCAUGCCCCUUAUGACUUGGGCUACACACGUACUACAAUGGCUGGUACAACGGGAAGCGAAGCCGCGAGGUGGAGCCAAUCCUAUAAAAGCCAGUCUCAGUUCGGAUUGCAGGCUGCAACUCGCCUGCAUGAAGUCGGAAUUGCUAGUAAUCGCGGAUCAGCAUGCCGCGGUGAAUACGUUCCC
RNAcentral lists this ribosomal RNA (401 nucleotides) under uncultured bacterium. RNAcentral describes it as "bacterial SSU rRNA". It matches the Rfam family "Bacterial small subunit ribosomal RNA", at positions 975 to 1375 of the family's 1533-position model. The record is from RNAcentral.